GACAGAGGGUGCAAACGUUGUUCGGAAUUACUGGGCGUAAAGCGCGUGUAGGCGGAUGAGCAAGUCUGCUGUGAAAGCUCCUGGCUUAACCGGGAGUGGUCGGUGGAAACUGCUCGUCUGGAGGACGGUAGAGGUAGGUAGAAUUCCCGGUGUAGUGGUGAAAUGCGUAGAGAUCGGGAGGAAUACCUGUGGCGAAGGCAGCCUACUGGGCCGGACCUGACGCUCAUGCACGAAAGCGUGGGGAUCAAACAGG
This 253-nucleotide ribosomal RNA is filed under the name uncultured bacterium. Its description in RNAcentral is "partial 16S ribosomal RNA". It matches the Rfam family "Bacterial small subunit ribosomal RNA", at positions 524 to 776 of the family's 1533-position model. The record is from RNAcentral.